CUACGGGGGGCAGCAGUGAGGAAUAUUGCACAAUGGGGGGAACCCUGAUGCAGCAACGCCGCGUGGAGGAUGACGCAUUUCGGUGUGUAAACUCCUUUUAUAUGUCAAGAAAAUGACGGUAGCAUAUGAAUAAGCACCGGCUAACUCCGUGCCAGCAGCCGCGGUAAUACGGAGGGUGCAAGCGUUACUCGGAAUCACUGGGUGUAAAGGACGCGUAGGCGGGUUGGAAAGUCAGGUGUGAAAUCCUACAGCUUAACUGUUGAACUGCACUUGAAACUUCUAAUCUAGAGUAUGGGAGGGGGAGAUGGAAUUAGUGGUGUAGGGGUAAAAUCCGUAGAUAUCACUAGGAAUACCUAAAGCGAAGGCGAUCUCCUGGAACAUUACUGACGCUAAGGCGUGAAAGCGUGGGGAGCAAACAGGAUUAGAUACCCCUGUAGUC
This 439-nucleotide ribosomal RNA is filed under the name uncultured bacterium. Its description in RNAcentral is "partial 16S ribosomal RNA". It matches the Rfam family "Bacterial small subunit ribosomal RNA", at positions 339 to 795 of the family's 1533-position model. The record is from RNAcentral.